Paramuricea clavata is the source of this 426-nucleotide non-coding RNA. NCBI's taxonomy places the organism in Eukaryota, Metazoa, Cnidaria, Anthozoa, Malacalcyonacea, Plexauridae. The record is from the annotation of a GenBank genome assembly.
CCUUCACAAGCCACAACACGCAAGUUUCUCAGCACAGAUCGUGUGAGCUCACAGCGGAAAAAACAAAUUACAUGUGUCUGCUACUAGUCAAAAUACUAGGAGUUCCAAGGCUAGCCGCCGUUUGAAGGCGAGUGUUGAUGAAGUAAUAUAUUGGAAGUAUUCAAGUAUGUUAAUUUACCUGUGCUUUUUGAUACCGCGUAGUUUAUAUCUUUUAUAUAACAAAGAUCAUCUAAGAUAAAGCAACUGGACACGCAUUGCUAAGGAUAAAAUCUUCUUUGGUUUCAAAACAAACCGUCAACGGACAUAUUUCCUUGCUAAAUUGGUAAGUUCAUAAAUCCCACAUUACAAUUGAGGGAUUUCUAUGUAGACUUAGUUUAUAUUAUUGCUUUAUAGAGCAUUCAAAUAAGUUUACCAGCCAAAACAGCA